UGAACAAAAAGCACACUUAAUCAGAAAUUUGAUAAAACAAAAGGUCAAUCAGGCAAAAAUCUCUUUUUUAAAAAAAAAAUUUCUUAUGUUCAAAACCUACAUCAUGAAUUAGGAAAAUAUAGAGCAACUCACAAUCCACAAUAUAUUUAGCAAAAUAUUUUGAAUUGCCAAUGCAAUACAUAAAAAUAGGGAUCAUCAGUUGGCAUCUGCAAGCAUGCAAACCAAAGAGUGAAUACAUACAUCAAGUUUCCUUUUGGAGGGGGAAGUGGUGGAGGCGGCCCUUGUGGAGGGGGAACUGGUGGAUGCGGCCCUUGUGGAGGGGGUCCUUCCUCUUGUAGAGGGGGACCUGGUGGAGGGGCCCCUUGUGGAGGAGGAACUGGUAGAGGGGGCCCAACAUGUGGAUUUGCCUCUGAUAUGCCUCCUGCAACUAAAAUUAGGUUCUCAUACCUAACAGAAAUAAAGGACAGUUAAUCAGAAAUUAGAUAAAAUUAAAGUCAAUAUGGCAAGAAUCUUAAAGUCAAUAUGGCAAGAAUCUUUUGUUUGUAUGCUCAAUGCAAACAUCAUUAAUUAGGAAAAUAAAGAGCGACUCCCAAUCCAUGUUAUAUUUAGCAAAAUAUUUUGAAACAGAAGUAAGAUAAUGGCCAAUGCAGUACGUAAAAAUGGGGAUCAUCGGUUGCCAUCUACAAGCACGCAAACCAAGGAGUGAGUACAUACAUCAAAUUUCUAACAGGUCCUUGUGGAGGAUGCACUGGUGGAGGGUGUCCUUCUGGAGGAGGAACUGGUGGAGGGGGCCCUACUUGUGAAUCUGACUCUGAUUUGCUCAAUAUAUAAUCCCUUAAAUUUUCUGUCCAUUCUCCAAGAACCUUUAUGAGAACAG
RNAcentral lists this long non-coding RNA (877 nucleotides) under Citrus x clementina. RNAcentral describes it as "Citrus clementina (C. clementina) long non-coding RNA (CCLE_LNC002235)". The record is from RNAcentral. Lineage: Eukaryota; Viridiplantae; Streptophyta; Magnoliopsida; Sapindales; Rutaceae.